Molecule: long non-coding RNA, 571 nt
Filed under: Hordeum vulgare
Lineage: Eukaryota; Viridiplantae; Streptophyta; Magnoliopsida; Poales; Poaceae
Description: long non-coding RNA (HVUL_LNC004326)
Source: RNAcentral
UAUUCCCCAUCCCUUAGCUAUAUAAAAAAGAGAGCUCCCUUAUGCAGAAUGAGUUGAUCAAUGAUUAAUAAUGAAAGACUCUUCUCUAUAUCUCUAUUAAUUUACUUUUUAUAUCUGUGCAUGAUCCGCUACAACGCUCGCUCGAGUUCGGUGUUAAUUUACUUUUUAUAUCUGUGCAUGAUCCGCUACAACGCUCGCUCGAGUUCGGUGUUGCGGAACAUGAAGAUCUCGAUAAACAAGGGCAAAGAAAACCGAGGCCUCCCUGCUCUGUGAAUCUCACCUCACCAUCCGCCUGCUGCCUACCUGUCUCCUCCGGUCUCAAACAAAUAAGCGCACCAAUCCCGGGGCGCCGUCUGCCUCUGCCUCUGUCGACCUCUCCAGACGGAUGGGCUGCCUCCACCAGCGGCUCGGCCGCACGCGUACGGCCUCUUCCUUCCUUCUCCGAGCUUCACUGCCCCUUUUCCCUUGGGAAUUUCUUGUUUCGUGUGAGCAAGAUUAGUUGGAUUUGCUUUCGGAAAAUCAGGUGCUCUGCCGUUCGUGAGGAGGUUCAAGCCGAGGGAGAUCNACGCGU